GCUGGACGUGGUGGAGCACACCUGUAAUCCUAGCAACUCAGGAGGCUGAGGCUGGAAGAUCACAAGUUCAAAGCCAGCCUCAAAAACUUUAGGGAGGCCCUAAGCAAUUUUGUGAGACCCUGUCUCAA
This 128-nucleotide small RNA is filed under the name Marmota monax (woodchuck). Lineage: Eukaryota; Metazoa; Chordata; Mammalia; Rodentia; Sciuridae. The record is from RNAcentral.